RNAcentral lists this ribosomal RNA (490 nucleotides) under uncultured bacterium. Its description in RNAcentral is "partial 16S ribosomal RNA". It matches the Rfam family "Bacterial small subunit ribosomal RNA", at positions 30 to 507 of the family's 1533-position model. The record is from RNAcentral.
AUUGAACGCUGGCGGCAGGCUUAACACAUGCAAGUCGAGCGGUAGCACAAGAGAGCUUGCUCUCUGGGUGACGAGCGGCGGACGGGUGAGUAAUGUCUGGGAAACUGCCUGAUGGAGGGGGAUAACUACUGGAAACGGUAGCUAAUACCGCAUAACGUCGCAAGACCAAAGAGGGGGACCUUCGGGCCUCUUGCCAUCAGAUGUGCCCAGAUGGGAUUAGCUAGUAGGUGGGGUAAUGGCUCACCUAGGCGACGAUCCCUAGCUGAUCUGAGAGGAUGACCAGCCACACUGGAACUGAGACACGGUCCAGACUCCUACGGGAGGCAGCAGUGGGGAAUAUUGCACAAUGGGCGCAAGCCUGAUGCAGCCAUGCCGCGUGUGUGAAGAAGGCCUUCGGGUUGUAAAGCACUUUCAGCGAGGAGGAAGGUGGUGAACUUAAUACGUUCAUCAAUUGACGUUACUCGCAGAAGAAGCACCGGCUAACUCCGUG